This 347-nucleotide long non-coding RNA is filed under the name Mustela putorius furo (domestic ferret). Its description in RNAcentral is "lncRNA (ENSMPUG00000026450.1)". The record is from RNAcentral. Lineage: Eukaryota; Metazoa; Chordata; Mammalia; Carnivora; Mustelidae.
UAUAUCUCAAUAAAGUUUUUGUUUUGUUUUGUUUUUUUCGUUUUUAAUAAAAGAGACUAGACCAUUCUGUGAUUCCAAGGAGGAGGAGGAGGAGGAGGAGGAGAGCGUUACUUGCCAAACUUCAGACAUCUGCCUGCUGGCUGGCCAACCCCCACGGCAUCAUCUCUGAGAAGAUUGCAUGUCGCAGCUCCCAUCCUUGCCAAGUCAUGAAAGUCUGCGGAUACACUGAACAGACAUAUGGCUUCCAGAAAACCUUCUUGCCUUCUUUCCGUUGGCCACUGGAAAUUUCUGAUGUGGUGGAAUCUCCUUAAAAUGGAGACUUUUUUUUUUUUUAAAUCUCCAUUUUU